UUUUCGUAUUUUUCCAUUUCUUUUGCGCUCUCCCAGUUGCGGUCGUCGUUGGCGUCGCUGUCGCUGCCAGCGUCAACGGCGCUGCUUGGCUUGGCCGCUCGCUUUCAUGGGGUUCUUGAGCGUAUGCAAAAGAUUUUUGCACAUAUUCAUCUUUUUGGCCGUUUUCGGUGCUUUUUGACUGUUUGGAACAUUUUUAAAGAUUACGUUAAAACGUUGUUGAUACUUAUUAAAAAUAUUGUUUUGUUAAUUAUAAUAAUAAUAA
Molecule: long non-coding RNA, 262 nt
Organism: Drosophila navojoa
Lineage: Eukaryota; Metazoa; Arthropoda; Insecta; Diptera; Drosophilidae
Source: RefSeq, a predicted model, not a curated record